GUGGGGAAUAUUGGACAGUGGGCGGAAGCCUGAUCCAGCAAUUCCGCGUGGGUGAAGAAGGUCUUCGGAUUGUAAAGCCCUUUCGGCGGGGACGAUGAUGACGGUACCCGCAGAAGAAGCCCCGGCUAACUUCGUGCCAGCAGCCGCGGUAAUACGAAGGGGGCUAGCGUUGCUCGGAAUUACUGGGCGUAAAGGGCGCGUAGGCGGCGCAGUUAGUCAGGCGUGAAAUUCCUGGGCUUAACCUGGGGACUGCGCUUGAUACGGCUGUGCUAGAGGGUGGAAGAGGCUCGCGGAAUUCCCAGUGUAGAGGUGAAAUUCGUAGAUAUUGGGAAGAACACCGGUGGCGAAGGCGGCGAGCUGGUCCAUUACUGACGCUGAGGCGCGACAGCGUGGGGAGCAAACAGG
Molecule: ribosomal RNA, 405 nt
Filed under: uncultured bacterium
Lineage: Bacteria
Description: bacterial SSU rRNA
Rfam family: Bacterial small subunit ribosomal RNA
Source: RNAcentral